Molecule: ribosomal RNA, 490 nt
Filed under: uncultured bacterium
Lineage: Bacteria
Description: bacterial SSU rRNA
Rfam family: Bacterial small subunit ribosomal RNA
Source: RNAcentral
GAUGAACGCUAGCUACAGGCUUAACACAUGCAAGUCGAGGGGAAACGACAGUAAAGCUUGCUUUAUUGGGCGUCGACCGGCGCACGGGUGAGUAACGCGUAUCUAACCUGCCCACCACUUGGGGAUAACCUUGCGAAAGUAAGACUAAUACCCAAUGAUAUCCCACGAAGGCAUCCGAAUGGGAUUAAAGAUUUAUCGGUGAUGGAUGGGGAUGCGUCUGAUUAGCUUGUUGGCGGGGUAACGGCCCACCAAGGCUACGAUCAGUAGGGGUUCUGAGAGGAAGGUCCCCCACAUUGGAACUGAGACACGGUCCAAACUCCUACGGGAGGCAGCAGUGAGGAAUAUUGGUCAAUGGACGGAAGUCUGAACCAGCCAAGUAGCGUGCAGGAUGACGGCCCUAUGGGUUGUAAACUGCUUUUAUGUGGGAAUAAAGUCAGGGACGUGUCCCUGUUUGCAUGUACCACAGGAAUAAGGACCGGCUAAUUCCGUG